CAGCACCUCAAGUGGUCAGGAUGAUUAUUGGGCCUAAAGCAUCCGAAGCCGGCGCUGUAAGUUUUCGGUUAAAUCUGUACGCUCAACGUACAGGCUGCCGGGAAUACUGCAGCGCUAGGGAGUGGGAGAGGUAGACGGUACUCGGUAGGAAGGGGUAAAAUCCUUUGAUCUAUUGAUGACCACCUGUGGCGAAGGCGGUCUACCAGAACACGUCCGACGGUGAGGGAUGAAAGCUGGGGGAGCAAACCGGAUUAGAGACCCGCGUAGUCC
RNAcentral lists this ribosomal RNA (270 nucleotides) under uncultured archaeon. Its description in RNAcentral is "partial 16S ribosomal RNA". It matches the Rfam family "Archaeal small subunit ribosomal RNA", at positions 477 to 747 of the family's 1478-position model. The record is from RNAcentral.